Molecule: ribosomal RNA, 253 nt
Filed under: uncultured bacterium
Lineage: Bacteria
Description: partial 16S ribosomal RNA
Rfam family: Bacterial small subunit ribosomal RNA
Source: RNAcentral
UACGUAGGGUGCAAGCGUUGUCCGGAAUUAUUGGGCGUAAAGAGCUCGUAGGCGGUCUGUCGCGUCUGCUGUGAAAACUCGGGGCUUAACCCCGGGCCUGCAGUGGGUACGGGCAGACUAGAGUGCGGUAGGGGAGACUGGAAUUCCUGGUGUAGCGGUGAAAUGCGCAGAUAUCAGGAGGAACACCGGUGGCGAAGGCGGGUCUCUGGGCCGUAACUGACGCUGAGGCGCGAAAGCGUGGGGAGCAAACGGG